RNAcentral lists this long non-coding RNA (1276 nucleotides) under Cavia porcellus (domestic guinea pig). RNAcentral describes it as "lncRNA (ENSCPOG00000033410.1)". Lineage: Eukaryota; Metazoa; Chordata; Mammalia; Rodentia; Caviidae. The record is from RNAcentral.
GCCGCCGUGAAACCAGCCUGCCGAGCGGCUUUCCGCUCCGUGGCCCCAGGGCUGGCCGGGCGGGACGCGCCCGCCUCGGCUCGGCUGGGAGCCAGCCCACCACGGAUGGAAGGAACACCCCGGGACGCUGGGCCGGAGAAACUACUUCCUCCUCGACUUGUGGGCGUCCGGUAUUUUGUGCCAGCGACCAGAAACCUAAUACAGCAAAGUAAGACCAGCUUCCUACACGGGAUCUCCGAAAAUCCCACAGACAGAAACAACCAAAUCUUCAUCCACAGACUAAUGGAUAAACAAAAUAUGGACUCUGGUGCGUGGCCUAAAGGCGAAUCAAAACAACUCUUGACUCAGCAUUGGUCAAGAUCUGGAUUGGAGCCUCAGCACCACAAAGACAAAACACGAAUGUGGAAAUGAGUACAGCGGAGGACAAUUAGUCAGAAAAAGAAAGGAAAUUCUGAAACCUGCUACAACAGCCAUGAAUCUUGAGGAAAUCAUGCCAGGCAAAAUGCACAAGUCACAGAAUACCACACACAUCGGGGCUGGGGAUUUAGCUCAGCGGCAUAAGCGCCUGCCUUGCAAGCAGGCAGUCGUGAGUUCGAUCUCCGGUACCAAUAAAAAGGAAAAAGACAAAAAAAAAAAAAAAAAAGAAAAGAAAACCACACACAUGGCUUAGAUAGCUCAAGCCCAUAGAAGAUAGAACAGACCAGUGCUUGCCUCGUCCCAAGAGAAGAGCUACACUACAUGUCUCAACAGAGAAAGAAUGAUGAGGAAGAUUAUAUUAGGGAGCAAACCUUAAUGAAACUUAGCUGUGUAGCUAUGGAGUUUCCUACCACUCCACUGCUCACAAAACAAAAUUCAAAGUGUGAUCGGCUCACCAGGUUUCAACAAACCAAAGAGCUUCUGCUGACUGGCCACACAUCCUCUCCUUACUCCCAGUAACUGGGUGGCUUUAUGUGAGUCCCACCCAGAAACUACACGAGAAUGAGACUCAUAACGUACAUGAUCUUAGCCAAAAGACCAAGAAGCAAUUAUCAUACUGUUAAGUCAAGCAAUGUAGGCACUGAAACCACAAAUUGACCCGUCCUACAAGAGCUUCCCUGACCUACCAGGCUGGGAAGAAACAAAUAGCCAGAAGUACUAAGAAAGCAUCCUAGGUGGCCUGGCAUUGAGGCACAACAAGCCUUGAAUCCCAGCUACUCCCAAGGCUGUGAUUGGGCAAGUCCCAGGCCAGCCUGGGCACAUCGGCCAGACCCUGCAAGAAAAAAGGCUCACGAGGGAG